This is a non-coding RNA of Ictidomys tridecemlineatus (thirteen-lined ground squirrel), 4180 nucleotides long. The record is from RefSeq and is a predicted model, not a curated record. NCBI's taxonomy places the organism in Eukaryota, Metazoa, Chordata, Mammalia, Rodentia, Sciuridae.
AGACACUUCCCUGGGUUCUGAUCAAGAGGAUCUGUGGGGGCAGAGGGUGCCCUGAUGGCACCCCUGGGUGGAGAAAGAGCAGGGCCUGGUGAGGACUACUUUCCUCCUUGUUGGCACUUACCAAUGUGAGCCAGAUUCCGCCCAGCUCAUUUUCAUUAUCAGGAGUGGCUGUUUUCAACAUUGUUUACAAAGUAGCGAUGCUCUUCUAAAAUCCAAUGGAGGGUAGGGACCUUGUUUAGUUCCUAUGGGGCUGGGUACUGGCCAAUUUUCUAGACCUCUCAUUCCCUACAUAGGAACUGCUGGAUCCCAAGGGUCUGAAAACCCCUUCUCUGUUCUAGGUGAAUGGAUGGACGUCAGGAAAGAAAGAGGGAGAGAGGGUGGAGCUGGGGGGGUGGGCAGAAGGAAGGAAGGAUUUUUAUUGCUACUUUAUAACAUUGUAGUAAGAACCAGCAAGAAUAUUUUUACUUUGAAUCUGGUAAAUUAGGACUUCCUUUUCAUGUGCAUCAAACUGCCCUUUGAUUCUUUAAAUCCAAAUAAAACAAAUUAUGAUGUCAAGAGAUCCAAGAGAUAGUUCAGCGGGUACUAUCCUUGUUAAGCAUAUCUGCCUCAGUUUGAACCCUGGCCCUUACUUAUUAGCUGCGUGAUACUGAACAAGUUACUUACCCUUUCUUUCUGUGCCUCAGUUUCUUCAUCAGUAGAAGGGAGUGUCAAUAGUGCCUACCUUGCAGGGUUGUUGUGAGCAUAAAAUACACGAGUGUGUAUGUGGGUUUAGAAUCAUGUAUGACACAGGGUGAUGAUGUAAUCAACACUGGCUGUUGUUAUGGGUGUGGAAGUGUGUGAUUCCUUGCAGCACCAGUUUUUGCACAUAUAAUUCCUGGCCCUCCGGUAGGUAUCCUAUUUCACUUCAGGACCCUAGAGGGGGCUUGUUCACUCAGUAGAUGGGCAAGGAUUUGUGCUGCAGCGAGUUCUGUGAAGGUGGUUGUUUGGGCAAGGACAGGGGUGGGGGGGGGCGGCUUCUGUGCCUUUUGCUAUUUUGCUGGGGAAGACGGACUCUGUGGAGGCAUCCAGGUCCAAUCUUAUUUUAUGGUUGUGGGAUGUUUAUAGCAAACUCCUUCCUAGUCGAUAUGAUCUGUAAGUCCAGAGGGCGUCUGCUGGGGGAGACGGGUGGUCAGCGAAUGCUUUCUUCCUAACAGUUUCCCAGGCUGGGCUGGAGCAGAGAACCCUGGACUGCUGUGGGUUUCACCUAAAGUUCCCGGUCCUGUUCUCUGACCUGCUUCCUAGGGACAAGGUGGCAUUGCAGGGCCUUCCCAGGGUCUCCCAUAAGAAUCCUAAGGGGCCACAUGCAUGCCAAGGUUGUUGUUAGUGGCCCCUGAGAGCUGGCAGGGGCCACAGCCAGAACCUGGAGCUGGACAGUUCACACCUCCCCAACCCAUCCCUCUAGUCAUUCUAGAAGGUUCCUGUGGUUCCACCUGUCUGUCCAGGUGGCAAGCUAUCAUUUCCUGCAAGGACUUGCAAUUUGCUUUGCAAGACCAAACUCUCAGGCUGAAGUCGGUGAUAACAGACGGUGCACACCACGGAGGGCGAAGAGGAAAGGAGAGGGAGACUUGGUGUCAGAAGUGGGACUUCCGUUUGAGCAGGAAGUGAAGGAAGAAGCUGGGAAUCUCAGGAAUGCAGGAAUGGGUAUAUGAGGGUGUGCCGGGCCGGGAGAGAGGAGACCAGGCUGAUGGGAGUGGUAAAUGGCGUGUGGAUCUUGGAUGAGGAGGGUCUGCCUGGAGCAUGGGUAACCCUGAAGCCGCAUUGGAAUAGACUUGGCUGGAUUCUCUAGGAAACAGGACAGACAUAUUGGGAGAGGGGUUCACAAGGAAGGCCCUGUCUUCUGCCUGAUCCUGGCUGGGAAUCUUCCCUGACACUGUCAAGGGCAGUUGGAGUGAGGUCUGUCGCAGCACGUGUAAAGGCACACACAUAUAGCUCGCAGGUGUGACCAGGUGUGCUUGCACACAACCAUUAUCUCUGCUGAGUUUUCCAGUCUCUUAAUCCUUCUGGCUCUGAGCUUAUGAUCUGGGGCUUACAUACAAAUGACUUUAUAUAAGUCUUAGCAGGACCACAGGGUGCCAUCAUGUCAGAAGGGGAAACCAAGGGGCUGGGGUUGUAGCUCAGUGGUACAGCACUUGCCUAACGUGUGUGAGGCUCUGGGGUCCAUCCUCAGCACCACAUAAAAAAUAAAUAACUAAAAUAAAGGUAUUGUGUCCCUCUACUAAAAAUAAACGAAACAAAGGUAUCGUGUCCAUCUACAACUGAAAAAAAAAUUUUUAAAAGAAGGUGAAAACAAGGCACUGUAUUCUGAAGAAGCUGGUUCUAGGAGCUGCCCUUGAAUUAUUGUGGAGUCCAAUUUCAGGUAGGGGCUGCUGGGACUCCUUUAUUCAGCAGACUGGCUUCUAAAAUGGUUUCUUUCCCUCAUCUCUUAUAAAGCCAGGGAAGGGUGUUACCUAGGAGAGGCUAUUUGGAAAAAUAACCAUUUUAAUCAUUUCUCAGUGGUGCAGUUUGGUGGAGGGGGCUGGGAGGGAGAGGGUUGCUCCUGGGGUUUCCGGUCACCCCAGUACUCCUUUAGACCAUCAACGAGUGGAGAGUGCGGGGGGGGAGGGGGCUUGUAGAGGACUCAGAAGGCUCAGAAAGGUGCAUAACACUUCACCAUAUGGAAAAGAGUGGCAGAAAAAGGAGGAAGACUUCAACUUAAGGUGAUAGGGGGUGGCCGAACCUGGGGAGGCUCAUGAUGCAGGUGACGUCCCAGUGCAUAGUGCUCCUCGGAUAGAAGUGUCUUUGGUAAGAGGGAGGAGUGUGAGGCCAUGUGUCCUUAGGUCACCUCCCCAUAGUACUGACCACCUGAGUUCCUCCUGUCCCCUCUUGAGAGCUGCCACCAUCAUCCCUUGCCCUAUGAGUGGCUACCUCCCACUCCUGAGUGCCUUUUAUUCUCCUUCUCCCUUGGGCUGUGAGAACGGCAGAGUGCCCAGCCAGGGAAUGGACAUGGAUGUGUGUGGUUGUGCAUGCGUGUGUGUGUGUGUGUGUGUGUGUGUGUGUAGGGGCUGGGGCUGACAGCAGGUCAGAGCACAGGAGUAGAGAGCUUCUGGCAGGUGAGGCUGCCCUUAGGUCAGCUCUGUACCCUGGAGCCCAGAGGACUCUUCACUCAGACGGCAACAGCCGGCAAGACCCGAGAGGCCAGAGCAGCUUCAGUCACUGACCAGAGGAGACCCCGAGGAGCCCGGGAGGAGCCGCAGGAGUGCUCACGAUGACAGUACCCUGGAAAGCUCUGGAAUAAAAAUACCCGGGCUUUAGGUCGUGGAGGUGAUGGUGGGCUCCUGCUCCACAUCCUGAUGGGACUCUCUGGAGCUGACAGAACGCUUUACUGCCUACAACUUGGGCCUGGUGCUUCUUUCAAGGUCUGUGUUCUAUGAGUUCAUGGCUACCUUGCUCCUGGCUGACUGUAACUACUUCUGCCAGCCAGUGGACUACAACCGAGCAAGCUAGGGUGAGGGUACAGCAGGAAGGGGACAAUUAAGGCUGAAGAGGGAGGAUUGGUGGAAAGACCCUCAUUUAACAACCAGAACUGGAUCAAGACAAAGUCACCAAGCUUUCUGACGGGAGGCUGGGGACUGGCUGGUUAGGCACAGGCUUUGGAAUCAGAGGAGCUCAGACCUCAGUUUGGACAUCAGAUCUGCCAGUUACUGGCCAUGUGACAUACCUUUUUUGGAUCUCAAUUUUCUUAUCUAUGUAAUGGGGAUAGGAACACUUACUUUAUAAAAGGAAACUUUGGGGAAAGAUUGAAUUAGACAAUGUCUGAGUGUUUAGCUCUGAGACAGGCGCGUAUUACUGGUAUCUAAGUGGUAGUUAUUUCAUUAUUGCUAGCUGUUCUCAGUUUCAACUGGAAGUAGAACAAAAGGCUUCCCAGCAGCAAGAAAGCUAAGCUUUGACAGGUCACCAAGUAGUGAUAGGGAUGUUGAGUCACUGGAGUUCCAACAAGGAGCUAAAAGUCUUGCGACUCAAAAUAUGGUCCACAGACCAGCAGCAUCAGCAUCGCCGGGAGCUUGUUCAACAAGCAAAAUCUGUGCCCCACCUCACGCAGCAAGCACAUAGAUUAAGAAUCUGCUUUUCAAUAAACAAGAUCUGCAUGUGCUUAGGAUUGAGC